CUGCCCUUUGGUUCGGAAUAACAGUUGGAAACGACUGCUAAUACCGGAUGAUGACGAAAGUCCAAAGAUUUAUCGCCAGAGGAUGAGCCCGCGUAGGAUUAGCUAGUUGGUGUGGUAAGAGCGCACCAAGGCGACGAUCCUUAGCUGGUCUGAGAGGAUGAUCAGCCACACUGGGACUGAGACACGGCCCAGACUCCUACGGGAGGCAGCAGUGGGGAAUAUUGGACAAUGGGCGAAAGCCUGAUCCAGCAAUGCCGCGUGAGUGAUGAAGGCCUUAGGGUUGUAAAGCUCUUUUACCCGGGAUGAUAAUGACAGUACCGGGAAAAUAAGCUCCGGCUAACUCCGUGCCAGCAGCCGCGGUAAUACGGAGGGAGCUAGCGUUGUUCGGAAUUACUGGGCGUAAAGCGCACGUAGGCGGCUUUGUAAGUUAGAGGUGAAAGCCUGGAGCUCAACUCCAGAAUUGCCUUUAAGACUGCAUCGCUCGAAUCCAGGAGAGGUGAGUGGAAUUCCGAGU
Molecule: ribosomal RNA, 514 nt
Filed under: uncultured bacterium
Lineage: Bacteria
Description: bacterial SSU rRNA
Rfam family: Bacterial small subunit ribosomal RNA
Source: RNAcentral